GAGGACCACCUGGCCCCAGCUCCCAGUCACAAUUUUUGCAGGGACAGAUGUUUCCUGCUCACCUCCCGCAUCCUAGUGACAGUGAGGCAUUGACCUGUGUGUGUCCCCAGGGUGGUCAUUGGGGCCUGCAGCUCCUGGCACCUGCCAGCAGGUCCAGUGUGUGUGCACAUGACUCAGCUAGGCCAACUCCAUUCAUCUCCUGGGCCUACCACCACAAUGACCACAAACCACGUGGCUUCAAACAACAGAAGUCUAUUCCCUCAACGUCCUGGGGGUCAGCAGUCCACAACCACAGUGUGGGCCGGGCCGUGCUCCUGCCAAAGGCUCUGGGGCGGAUCCUUCCUGCUCUUCCAGCUUCUGGGGGCUUCUGGCGCUCCUCAGCUGUGGCCUGGUUUGUGUGAGUCCCACUGUCGCUGGGUCCUCUGUCGAGAGCUAUAGUUUGGGGGGUCUCCGUAAGGGAUCGGAGUCCUCUGCAGCGGCUCUCCUCAUGCUCUGGGAGUGGGGGGCACAGAACCCCUGUGAGCUCCUGAACUCAGGGUCCAGAGUGAGAGUGGCCAUGGCCCUGCUGUAGAGGCAUCAUGGGCUGUGUCUCUCCCUGUCCCCAGCACCUGGCUCGGUAUGUGGAGCAAUAUGUGGGGACCGAGGGCGCGUCCAGCUCGCCCACCGAGGGCUUCCUCCUGAAACCUGUGUUCCUGCAGAGGAACCUCAAGAAGUUCCGCCGCCGGUGGCAGAGCGAGCAGGCGCGGGCCCUGCGCGGUGAGGCCAGGAGCUCCUGGAAGCGGCUGGUGGGCGUGGAGAGUGCCUGCGACGUGGACUGCCGCUUCAAGCUCAGCACUCACAAGAUGGUGUUCAUUGUGAACUCCGAGGACUACAUGUACCGUCGCGGGACCCUCUGCCGGGCCAAGCAGGUGCAGCCCCUGGUCCUGCUCCGCCACCACCAGCACUUUGAGGAGUGGCAUAGCCGCUGGCUGGAGGACAAUGUGACGGUGGAGGCGGCCAGCCUGGUGCAGGACUGGCUGAUGGGUGAGGAGGACGAGGACAUGGUACCCUGCAAGACGCUGUGUGAGACGGUGCACGUGCAUGGCCUGCCCGUGACCCGCUACCGCGUGCAGUACAGCCGCCGCCCGGCCUCGCCGUGACCCGCCCUCAUGGGCACCGGGCAGGCGCCUCACAGAGCACAGACGUGCCCUCGGCCUUGGUCGUGUCGGGGCCGUUUUCUUGAACGACCUGAGAGGCAUCUCCCAGCCCCUCUGCUGCCGGACAGCGCACUCCAGGGCAGGACGCUGCCCCCGUGGCUCCCGGCCUCCUGUGGGCCUGCUGCGUGCCAAACCUGAGCUACCUGCACCCGAGCCCUGGGGCUCAGCCCCACCACAGGGGUGGGUGGACGUGCUGGCUGAGGAACAAGCAAUCAUGUUUGCGUCCCCAUCCGUCACAUGUGCCAAAUCCCUGGCAGGCAGAUGGCUCCUGCCCCA
Molecule: small RNA, 1472 nt
Filed under: Pongo abelii (Sumatran orangutan)
Lineage: Eukaryota; Metazoa; Chordata; Mammalia; Primates; Hominidae
Description: retained intron
Source: RNAcentral